This 453-nucleotide ribosomal RNA is filed under the name Escherichia coli. RNAcentral describes it as "partial 23S ribosomal RNA". It matches the Rfam family "Bacterial large subunit ribosomal RNA", at positions 743 to 1194 of the family's 2925-position model. Lineage: Bacteria; Pseudomonadati; Pseudomonadota; Gammaproteobacteria; Enterobacterales; Enterobacteriaceae. The record is from RNAcentral.
GGUUGAAGGUUGGGUAACACUAACUGGAGGACCGAACCGACUAAUGUUGAAAAAUUAGCGGAUGACUUGUGGCUGGGGGUGAAAGGCCAAUCAAACCGGGAGAUAGCUGGUUCUCCCCGAAAGCUAUUUAGGUAGCGCCUCGUGAAUUCAUCUCCGGGGGUAGAGCACUGUUUCGGCAAGGGGGUCAUCCCGACUUACCAACCCGAUGCAAACUGCGAAUACCGGAGAAUGUUAUCACGGGAGACACACGGCGGGUGCUAACGUCCGUCGUGAAGAGGGAAACAACCCAGACCGCCAGCUAAGGUCCCAAAGUCAUGGUUAAGUGGGAAACGAUGUGGGAAGGCCCAGACAGCCAGGAUGUUGGCUUAGAAGCAGCCAUCAUUUAAAGAAAGCGUAAUAGCUCACUGGUCGAGUCGGCCUGCGCGGAAGAUGUAACGGGGCUAAACCAUGCAC